This 774-nucleotide ribosomal RNA is filed under the name uncultured Neocallimastigales. RNAcentral describes it as "partial large subunit ribosomal RNA". It matches the Rfam family "Eukaryotic large subunit ribosomal RNA", at positions 22 to 635 of the family's 3401-position model. Lineage: Eukaryota; Fungi; Neocallimastigomycota; Neocallimastigomycetes; Neocallimastigales. The record is from RNAcentral.
UAUACAUGACUCUGCGCAUAUCAAUAAGCGGAGGAAAAGAAACUAACAAGGAUUCCCCUAGUAACGGCGAGUGAAGCGGGAAGAGCUCAAAUUUGAAAUCUUAAAGGGUUUCCCUUUACGAAUUGUAGUUUAAAGAAGUGUUUUCUGUUGAGGUUUUGGUAAAAGUUCUUUGGAAUAGGACAUCAUAGAGGGUGAGAAUCCCGUAUUUGACCUUUACUUUCAACUUUGUGAUACACUUUCAAAGAGUCGGAUUGUUUGGGAAUGCAGUCCAAAAUGGGUGGUAAAUUUCAUCUAAAGCUAAAUAUUGGCGAGAGACCGAUAGCGAACAAGUACCGUGAGGGAAAGAUGAAAAGAACUUUGAAAAGAGAGUUAAACAGUACGUGAAAUUGUCAAAAGGGAAGCGUUUGACACCAGUGUUGUUUUUCUGAAAAUCAAUUAAAGAACUGUUUAUGCUAAGCUGUUUAGACUUUAUCAGCUAUCUGUUUAGUUUUGAGCUUUUCUUUAAUGCACUUUUCAGUUAACAAGUCAACAUCAAUUUCUUUUGCUGUAAAAAAGCUUGAUGGAAGGUGGCUUGAGAUUCGUCUUAAGUGUUUAUAGCCUCUUGCCUAUGCAGUCGGAGAGAUUGAGGUCUGCAGCGUAGAUCCUUCGGGGCUAAAUGCAUUUGUGCUAAGUUAUAGCAUUUUAUAGACAACUUGUUGACUAUGAUUUGUCUUGUAGCUUACUCGCUUAUGUUAUUUUACCUACGCUUAGGAUGUUGAUCUACAGAGCGAGAGU